GCGCAGCGGCGGCGGAUGGCGUCCGUGCCAGCGGCGCGGACGGCGGUGGCGACGGACGCCACCGCUGCGCAUGCUCUAACGCCAACCAUGGAGACUUUCCAUCUUUCAAAUCAUCUUCCACCUUCCAUCUUACAUAUUCAAUUCUACAAUCAAAACAAAUUAAAUACAUCAACAUUCUUCAUUUGUCUCCUUCCCUAACACCUCACAACAUACACUUUUCCAAGCAAAAACAAAUAGUGAGAAAGAGACGAGAGAGAGUCAGAAGUAGGAGCCACUGCCUUUUGUUCAAUCACAAGAAAUCGAAUCUGCCAAGCCAAGGAGAUUAAUUCCUUCUCGGCUCCACAGCGUUGCAUCACAAUUUCAAUCGGUUGAGGUAUAAAUCCUUUCCCAAUUUCAAGUUUCAAUCAUCAGUUUAUGCAUUAGCAUCCCGCCAUCCGAACCAAUCGCAUAACUCAAGCAAUUAAUACAAUUGAACACUCCCACGGUUAAAUUGAUAUGCGAAAGAACUUAGUAAAGGAAACUUAUCUUCCGGGGCUGUUCCGGGGCUGCUGGGACAGCCGGGAUGGUUUCGAGGCUGUUCCGUUUGAAAUCGAGGGGCCGUGGUGUCGUUUCGGAGCUGUCCGAACAGCAGGCGGACAAUGGCAGUGGCGGGCUGCGAACGGCGACAGCCUUGUGCGACCUUCGACGGUACAGCAGCGUGCGACGGAGGGGCGUGCAGAGGCGGCGCAUCAGAACAGCGGUGGAGUCCGCCGGCGAACUGCUGCGAUUCCGCACCAGUGACCUGCGUCGAGCACGACGGCAGCAGCAGCGACGGAAGGCAACGGGAUUUGGGUAAGAAAAGAGAGAGAAAGAAAAGAGAGAGAGAAGAAGAGAGGAAUGGGGAGAGAAGAAGAGAUAGGCGUGUAGAUGGAGAGUGAAUUUUGGGCCUCUUCUUUUGGUUUUCUUUAUUGGGCCUAUUGAAAAAAAAGAGGAUAGUGAUAAUUAAUUGGGCCUCACAAUUUUGAUUGGGAGAAAUACGAUGGGCUGAGAUUUUAAUUUA
Salvia splendens (bonfire salvia) is the source of this 1039-nucleotide long non-coding RNA. RefSeq lists it as uncharacterized. The record is from RefSeq and is a predicted model, not a curated record. The transcript has 2 exons. Lineage: Eukaryota; Viridiplantae; Streptophyta; Magnoliopsida; Lamiales; Lamiaceae.